UUAUGCUAAUAAGAGCGUAUGGUGGAUGCCUUGGCACUAAGAGCCGAUGAAAGACGUGAUAAGCUGCGAUAAGCUUCGGGGAGGGGCAAAUACCCAUCGAUCCGAAGAUUUCUGAAUGGGGAAACCCACUGGAGCAGACCUCCAGUAUCCCUGACCCAAUUCAUAAGUCAGGGAAGGGAACCCGGUGAACUGAAACAUCUAAGUAGCCGGAGGAAGAGAAAACAACAUGUGAUUCCGGAAGUAGCGGCGAGCGAAACCGGAAAAGCCCAAACCAGAGUGCGUGCACUCUGGGGUUCGGACCGCGUAAUUGAUUCUUUGCGAAUAGCAGAAUGGUUUUGGGAAAGCCAGCCAAAGAGGGUGAAAGCCCCGUAAGCGAAAUUCAAGAAGACAUGGCGGUAUCCAGAGUACCACGAGACACGAGAAACCUUGUGGGAAUAAGCGGGGACCACCCCGUAAGGCUAAAUACUACUUAGUGACCGAUAGCGCAUAGUACUGUGAAGGAAAGGUGAAAAGGACCCCGGGAGGGGAGUGAAAGAGAACCUGAAACCAUAUGUUUACAAGCUGUGGAAGCACCAUAUGAGUGCGACCGCGUACUUUUUGUAGAACGGUCCGGCGAGUUACGCUGGCUGGCAAGGUUAAGGACUGUAUGUCUGGAGCCGAAGGGAAACCAAGUCUGAAUAGGGCGAAUAUAGUCAGUCGGAGUAGACCCGAAACCGGGUGAUCUAUCCAUGUCCAGGUUGAAGUUGCCGUAAAAGGCAAUGGAGGACCGAACCCACAUCCGUUGAAAAGGGUGGGGAUGAGGUGUGGAUAGGGGAGAAAUUCCAAUCGAACCCGGAGAUAGCUGGUUCUCCUCGAAAUAGCUUUAGGGCUAGCCUCAUAUAAAAGUCUUGCGGAGGUAGAGCACUGAAUUUCCUAGGGGGCGUCAAAGCUUACCAAAGAAUAUCAAACUCCGAAUGCCGUGUAGAUGAUGUAUGGGAGUCAGACUGUCCGAGAUAAGUUGGAUGGUCAAAAGGGAAAGAGCCCAGACCUACAGCUAAGGUCCCAAAAUGUGUGUUAAGUGGAAAAGGAUGUGAGAUUUCAGAGACAACUAGGAUGUUGGCUUAGAAGCAGCCAUACAUUAAAAGAGUGCGUAAUAGCUCACUAGUCGAGAGGUCUUGCGCCGAAAAUGUCCGGGGCUAAAACACACUACCGAAGCUUAGGAAUUGAUGAAUGUCAAUUGGUAGAGGAGCAUUCUUAGAGAGACGAAGCUGUACCGUAAGGAGCAGUGGAUUUCUAAGAAGAGAGAAUGCCGGAAUGAGUAGCGAGAGGAAGGUGAGAAUCCUUCCGGCCGAAUAUCUAAGGUUUCCAGAGUAAAGCUGAUCUGCUCUGGGUAAGUCGGGGCCUAAGGCGAGGUCGAAAGACGUAGUCGAUGGACAACAGGUUGAGAUUCCUGUACUGUAACAUGACAGAACUGUGGGGACGCAGAGAGAGAGCGUAAGCCGGGAAUGGAAAAUCCGGUGCAAGCGAGGUAGGAGUAUAUCAGGCAAAUCCGGUAUACAAUCCGAAGACGUGAUGCGGAGCGAAUUAAAGUAGCGAAGUACGUGAGCUAACUGCCAAGAAAAGCCGCUAUUGUUCAUGUUAUACCCGUACCGUAAACCGACACAGGUGGAUGAGGAGAGAAUCCUAAGGCCGACGGGAGAAGCAUUGUUAAGGAACUCGGCAAAAUGACCCCGUAACUUCGGGAGAAGGGGUGCCUGGGAAACCAGGCCGCAGAGAAUUGGCCCAAGCAACUGUUUAGCAAAAACACAGGUCUAUGCAAAACCGAAAGGUGAGGUAUAUGGGCUGACGCCUGCCCGGUGCUGGAAGGUUAAGGGGAGAGGUUAGCGCAGCUUUGAACUUAAGCCCCAGUAAACGGCGGCCGUAACUAUAACGGUCCUAAGGUAGCGAAAUUCCUUGUCGGGUAAGUUCCGACCCGCACGAAAGGCGUAAUGAUUUGGGCACUGUCUCAACAAUGCACCCGGUGAAAUUGAAAUACCAGUGAAGAUGCUGGUUACCUGCGCCAGGACGGAAAGACCCCAUGGAGCUUUACUCCAGCUUGAUACUGGGAUUCGGUAUUGCAUGUACAGGAUAGGUGGGAGGCUAAGAACCUAUGACGCCAGUCAUAGGGGAGCCAAUGUUGGGAUACCACCCUUGCAGUAUUGGGUUUCUAACCAUCAGCCGUGAUCCGGCUGGGGGACAAUGUCAGGUGGGGAGUUUGACUGGGGCGGUCGCCUCCGAAAGGGUAUCGGAGGCGCUCAAAGGUCUUCUCAGAAUGGUUGGAAACCAUUCGCAGAGUGCAAAGGCAUAAGAAGGCUUGACUGUGACACCGACGGGUGGAGCAGGUACGAAAGUAGGACUUAGUGAUCCGGUGGUAUAAAGUGGGAUUGCCAUCGCUCAACGGAUAAAAGCUACCCUGGGGAUAACAGGCUUAUCACUCCCAAGAGUUCACAUCGACGGAGUGGUUUGGCACCUCGAUG
This 2495-nucleotide ribosomal RNA is filed under the name bioreactor metagenome. RNAcentral's name for it is "bacterial LSU rRNA". It matches the Rfam family "Bacterial large subunit ribosomal RNA", at positions 1 to 2531 of the family's 2925-position model. The record is from RNAcentral.